This 450-nucleotide ribosomal RNA is filed under the name uncultured bacterium. RNAcentral describes it as "partial 16S ribosomal RNA". It matches the Rfam family "Bacterial small subunit ribosomal RNA", at positions 338 to 795 of the family's 1533-position model. The record is from RNAcentral.
CCUACGGGGGGCUGCAGUAAGGAAUAUUGGUCAAUGGACGCAAGUCUGAACCAGCCAUGCCGCGUGGAGGAUGAAGGUCCUCUGGAUUGUAAACUUCUUUUAUUUGGGAAGAAACUCCCGAUUUCCAUCGGGAUUGACGGUACCAGCUGAAUAAGCACCGGCUCACUCCGUGCCAGCAGCCGCGGUACUACGGAGGGUGCAAGCGUUAUCCGGAUUCAAGGGGGCUUAGGGGGGCGUGGAAGUGCGUGGUGAAAUCUCCGGGCUUAACCCGGAAACUGCCAUUGAUACUAUUUGGCUGGAAUACUCUGGAGGUGAGCGGAAUAUGUCAGGUAGCGGUGAAAUGCUUAGAUAUGACAUAGAACACCCAUUGCGAAGGCAGCUCACUACGGAAAUAUUGACGCUGAGGCACGAAAGCGUGGGGAUCAAACAGGAUUAGAUACCCGUGUAGUC